RNAcentral lists this ribosomal RNA (254 nucleotides) under uncultured bacterium. RNAcentral describes it as "partial 16S ribosomal RNA". It matches the Rfam family "Bacterial small subunit ribosomal RNA", at positions 524 to 776 of the family's 1533-position model. The record is from RNAcentral.
UACGGGGGGUGCGAGCGUUGUCCGGAAUCACUGGGCGUAAAGGGCGCGUAGGUGGCUUGGUAAGCGUGUGGUGAAAGCCCGGGGCUCAACCCCGGGUCUGCCAUGCGAACUGCUAUGGCUUGAGCACUGUAGAGGCAGGUAGAAUUCCGGGUGUAGCGGUGGAGUGCGUAGAGAUCCGGAAGAAUACCGGUGGCGAAGGCGGCCUGCUGGGCAGUGGCUGACACUGAGGCGCGACAGCGUGGGGAGCAAACAGG